GACGAACGCUGGCGGCGUGCCUAACACAUGCAAGUCGAACGGGGUGAUUUCUUCGGAGAUCACUUAGUGGCGAACGGGUGAGUAACGCGUGAGAAACCUGCCUUUCAGUGGGGGACAACGGUUGGAAACGACUGCUAAUACCGCAUAAUGUUAUUUGGGGGCAUCCCCGAACAACCAAAGAUUUAUUGCUGAAAGAUGGUCUCGCGUCUGAUUAGCUAGAUGGCGGGGUAACGGCCCACCAUGGCGACGAUCAGUAGCCGGUCUGAGAGGAUGAACGGCCACAUUGGGACUGAGAUACGGCCCAGACUCCUACGGGAGGCAGCAGUGGGGAAUAUUGGGCAAUGGGGGAAACCCUGACCCAGCAACGCCGCGUGAAGGAAGAAGGCCUUCGGGUUGUAAACUUCUUUUAGUCAGGGACGAAGAACGUGACGGUACCUGCAGAAAAAAGACAACGGCUAACUACGUGCCAGCAGCCGCGGU
This 480-nucleotide ribosomal RNA is filed under the name uncultured bacterium. Its description in RNAcentral is "bacterial SSU rRNA". It matches the Rfam family "Bacterial small subunit ribosomal RNA", at positions 28 to 521 of the family's 1533-position model. The record is from RNAcentral.